RNAcentral lists this ribosomal RNA (639 nucleotides) under Nebria lyubechanskii. Its description in RNAcentral is "partial large subunit ribosomal RNA". The stretch from base 390 to 549 matches the Rfam family "Bacterial large subunit ribosomal RNA", at positions 2473 to 2632 of the family's 2925-position model. Lineage: Eukaryota; Metazoa; Arthropoda; Insecta; Coleoptera; Carabidae. The record is from RNAcentral. RNAcentral also lists the same sequence under 3 other names.
GUCCUUUAGAUAUUAAUUUAAGGUCUAACCUGCCCACUGAAUUAUUUUUAAAUGGCCGCAGUAAUUUGACUGUGCAAAGGUAGCAUAAUCAUUAGUUUUUUAAUUAAAAGCUUGUAUGAAAGGUUGGACGAAGUAAAAUCUGUCUCUAAUUAAAUUAAUUUAGAAUUUAACUUUUAAGUUAAAAGGCUUAAAUUUAACUAAAAGACGAGAAGACCCUAUAGAUCUUUAUAUUUUAAUUAUUAGAUUUAAUUAUGAAUUUUUUAAAUUUUAUUAGUUAAGUUAUUUUAUUGGGGUAAUAUAAAGAUUAAAAUAAUUCUUUUUUUUUAUUUACAUUAAUUUAUGAGUUUUAUGAUCCAAUUUUAUUGAUUAAAAGAUUAAGUUACCUUAGGGAUAACAGCGUAAUUUUUUUAGAGAGUUCUUAUCGAUAAAAAAGUUUGCGACCUCGAUGUUGGAUUAAAGAUUAUUUUAGGUGCAGAAGUUUAAAAAUUUUGGUCUGUUCGACCAUUAAAUCUUUACAUGAUCUGAGUUCAGACCGGUGUAAGCCAGGUCGGUUUCUAUCUUUAGUAAAUUAAAAUAUUUUAGUACGAAAGGACCAAUUAUUUAAUAUAUUAAUAUUUAUAAUUUUUGUUUAUUAUUAAA